CGCAGAUAAGUGAAAUGCAAAUUGAGAAUGCAUGUUGACUACCAAUCCUACUGUGUCAACUGGAACCAAAACUGACUCCAAAACUUGGUUUCAAUCAGUUUCAGCAAUUCCUUGUUUUAGAUUUACAUAGUUCAUUCUCACCUGUUAAAGUUAUUAAGAUGCUUAGAUUGUUCUACCAAAAUGCCAGGCCUUUUUUGCUGCUUC
RNAcentral lists this long non-coding RNA (204 nucleotides) under Phoenix dactylifera (date palm). Its description in RNAcentral is "long non-coding RNA (PDAC_LNC020801)". The record is from RNAcentral. Lineage: Eukaryota; Viridiplantae; Streptophyta; Magnoliopsida; Arecales; Arecaceae.